GAUGAACGCUAGCGGCAGGCCUAAUACAUGCAAGUCGAACGAGAUUAAGAGGCUUGCUUCUUAUGAAAGUGGCGCACGGGUGCGUAACGCGUAUGCAACCUACCUUAAUCAGGGGGAUAGCCCGAAGAAAUUCGGAUUAAGACCGCAUAAAACCACAGGAUAGCAUUAUCCAAUGUUCAAAUAUUUAUAGGAUUAAGAUGGGCAUGCGUGUCAUUAGCUAGUUGGCGGGGUAACGGCCCACCAAGGCGACGAUGACUAGGGGAUCUGAGAGGAUGACCCCCCACACUGGUACUGAGACACGGACCAGACUCCUACGGGAGGAAGCAGUAAGGAAUAUUGGUCAAUGGAGGGAACUCUGAACCAGCCAUGCCGCGUGCAGGAAGACAGCCCUCUGGGUCGUAAACUGCUUUUAUUCGGGAAUAAACCUUUCUACGAGUAGGAAGCUGAAUGUACCGAAGGAAUAAGGAUCGGCUAACUCCGUG
This 482-nucleotide ribosomal RNA is filed under the name uncultured bacterium. RNAcentral's name for it is "partial 16S ribosomal RNA". It matches the Rfam family "Bacterial small subunit ribosomal RNA", at positions 28 to 507 of the family's 1533-position model. The record is from RNAcentral.